This 497-nucleotide ribosomal RNA is filed under the name uncultured bacterium. RNAcentral describes it as "bacterial SSU rRNA". It matches the Rfam family "Bacterial small subunit ribosomal RNA", at positions 17 to 518 of the family's 1533-position model. The record is from RNAcentral.
UCCUGGCUCAGGAUGAACGCUGGCGGCGUGCUUAACACAUGCAAGUCGAACGGAGUUUUAACGGAAGUUUCGGAUGGAAGUUUAAAAACUAGUGGCGGACGGGUGAGUAACGCGUGGGUAACCUGCCUCAUACAGGGGGAUAACAGUUAGAAAUGACUGCUAACACCGCAUAAUAUAGCGAAACCGCAUGAUUUUGCUAUCAAAUAUUUAUAGGUAUGAGAUGGGCCCGCGUCUGAUUAGCUAGUUGGUGGGGUAAAAGCCUACCAAGGCGACGAUCAGUAGCCGGCUUGAGAGAGUGACCGGCCACAUUGGGACUGAGACACGGCCCAAACUCCUACGGGAGGCAGCAGUGGGGAAUAUUGGACAAUGGGGGAAACCCUGAUCCAGCGACGCCCGCGUGAGUGAAGAAGUAUUUCGGUAUGUAAAGCUCUAUCAGCAGGGAAGAUAAUGACAGUACCUGACUAAGAAGCCCCGGCUAACUACGUGCCAGCAGCAGC